GUUUCCGUAGGUGAACCUGCGGAAGGAUCAUUAAAUAGUACCACAGAUUACAUAUGCAAAUAUGACAAUCUACUACUAUAUACCAUUCCGAGUACUCUUCUUCCACGUUGCUUCCGCGAGGCAGUCACUUCAAGUGGCCGUUUGCUCCGGAUCUCCCUUCUUGGAGAGCCGGCUGUGAGCGAGAUUUCCUUGCGAAAGGUCAAUUACAAAUCCAAUUAUGUUUUUAUUUUGUGUCUGAAUAGAUUUUUUUCUUCUUUCUUUUUUUAAUUAAUAAAUACAAAAAAAAUAAAAUAAAAUACAAAACUUUCAACAACGGAUCUCUUGGUUCUC
This 330-nucleotide unclassified non-coding RNA is filed under the name plant metagenome. RNAcentral describes it as "partial contains small subunit ribosomal RNA, internal transcribed spacer 1, and 5.8S ribosomal RNA". The record is from RNAcentral.